This 490-nucleotide ribosomal RNA is filed under the name uncultured bacterium. Its description in RNAcentral is "partial 16S ribosomal RNA". It matches the Rfam family "Bacterial small subunit ribosomal RNA", at positions 30 to 507 of the family's 1533-position model. The record is from RNAcentral.
AUUGAACGCUGGCGGCAGGCCUAACACAUGCAAGUCGAACGGUAACAGGAAGAAGCUUGCUUCUUUGCUGACGAGUGGCGGACGGGUGAGUAAUGUCUGGGAAACUGCCUGAUGGAGGGGGAUAACUACUGGAAACGGCAGCUAAUACCGCAUAACGUCGCAAGACCAAGGAGGGGGACCUUCGGGCCUCUUGCCAUCGGAUGUGCCCAGAUGGGAUUAGCUAGUAGGUGGGGUAACGGCUCACCUAGGCGACGAUCCCUAGCUGGUCUGAGAGGAUGACCAGCCACACUGGAACUGAGACACGGUCCAGACUCUUACGGGAGGCAGCAGUGGGGAAUAUUGCACAAUGGGCGCAAGCCUGAUGCAGCCAUGCCGCGUGUAUGAAGAAGGCCUUCGGGUUGUAAAGUACUUUCAGCGGGGAGGAAGGGAGUAAAGUUAAUACCUUUGCUCAUUGACGUUACCCGCAGAAGAAGCACCGGCUAACUCCGUG